AAAAAAAGUACAUUAAAUGACUACUAAUAGGCAGUACCCUCAACCAACUUGUUCAACUUCUUGUUCCUUAACCUCUCAGCAUGCACGUCACUUCCUUGGCAUUCAUACCUUGGUGGUAAAGAGAUUAAAGGGCUCAAGCUUUUGGCAAGUUUAAGAGCCUCUUGCUCAGUAUUCACAAUCUUGUUGAAGCAGAAGUAUCGCCCACAUGUUGACCUAUCCUCGAAAGCCCGAAUAUGAACAUCCACCAGGAACUUCACAUCUACAAAGGCCAUCACUCCAUUUUCAUACAUCUGAGCUGCUCCUUGGAGGUAAGAGAUAGUGGAUCGUGGAUUUUGUUGAGCAACAGCGGGGCCCAAAACUAGUCCAGCAUUAAUGGAAACCAUGUUCAGCAUUCGGUCCAUUGCUAAAGCCCAAGCUGCUUGUUCCGACUGUGUCUUUGUGAGGGCGUACCACAACUUUAAUUUCCUGCAAAAUUCUUGAUCACUCCAAGACUUCUCAUCUACAUCUUCUUGUGAACAGACGUUUUCUUUCCAUAUUGCUGCAGUUAAAGAAGAAGUAAAUACAAUCUUUUCUAUGCUAUCAGUUUGUGCACAAGCUUCAACUGCAUUGAUUGCUCCUCUAACUUCAAAAUCAACAACUCCAUCUUCAUAUCCAUCUGGACUAUCUAAACAACAGAACAAAGCAGAGCAGCCCUUCAAAGCAAAAAGAAUGCUCUGGUAAUCCAAAACAUCUACAUCAAAUACUACCAAUCUCUCCUCUUCUUUCUCCAUAUCUCUUAUUUUCUCCUCUAUCUCUGUCUCUCCAUUCUUUUGGGUAGCUGCAUGAACUGUGUAUCCUCUAUUCAAGAGUCCCUUGAGAAUCCAAAAACCGACAUAAGUUGAAGCAUCAAGAACGCAAACUGCAGGCAGUACUUCAUAAUCCAUUCUUGAUCUUGCGAGCUGUUUUGGGGCUUUUUUUUUUCCUUUACAAAUCUUGGUACUAUCCUACUCUUGUAAUUGAUUGCUUUUAUAACAGCUUCUGUAUAUAGAAGUAGAGGGGAGGGAAUUUGUAGGUGAGAUCAAUGGACGGACACUGAUAGAAGAAGAGUUGGUGAACUAUUUUGCCACACGUUCUCAUCUACUCACCAUCCUUUGCUUGAAAGGUCUUUUUGGC
Molecule: unclassified non-coding RNA, 1152 nt
Filed under: Hevea brasiliensis (rubber tree)
Lineage: Eukaryota; Viridiplantae; Streptophyta; Magnoliopsida; Malpighiales; Euphorbiaceae
Source: RNAcentral